GAAAAUACAAUAUAGUUUUCGGUGGAUUAUCCAAAUGAUAACAUCGUGGCCGUUGGUGGAAGCUACAAUCAUAUUUUCACAUAUGAUACAACGCUUAUCACAUCGCUAUACUUCACAACCUCCAGGGGUUUUACCUCUCCAUUAUUCGGUGAGAAGACGGGAACAGAUUUCGAGUUCCAAGGUGAAAAUAGAGGAAAACUUCUCGGGUUCCAUGGACGUGCUGGUUUUGCUAUUGAUGCCAUCGGAGCUUACUUCCACACUGGUUCACAAGGUGGCCAGGGAGGUGGUCCUAGACCUGUUGUCCCCGGAAAGAUAGGACCCUUAGGUGGUGCCAAGGGAAAUGAAUUUGAUGAUGUUGGUUUUGAUGGUGUGAAGAAAGUAACUGUGGGAGCAGAUGAAUUCAGUGUAACUUAUCUCAAGAUCGAAUACAUAAAGGACGGAAAAGUUGAGAUACGUGAACACGGGACAAAUCGCGGGCAACUAAAAGAGGUAUAAAACAUUGUGAUUAUUUUUUUUACGAUAAUAUUCAUUGGGUUUGCUAAUAAAUUGUUUGAUUUUUAUGGAAAAUAAAAUACAGUUCUCGGUGGAUUAUCCAAAUGAUAACAUCGUGGCCGUUGGUGGAAGCUACAAUCAUAUUUUCACAUAUGAUACAACGCUUAUCACAUCGCUAUACUUCACAACCUCCAGGGGUUUUACCUCUCCAUUAUUCGGUGAGAAGAAGGGAACAGAUUUCGAGUUCCAAGGUGAAAAUAGAGGAAAGCUUCUCGGGUUCCAUGGACGUGCUGGCUAUGCUAUUGAUGCCAUCGGAGCUUACUUCCACACCGGUUCACA
Molecule: long non-coding RNA, 831 nt
Filed under: Brassica napus (rape)
Lineage: Eukaryota; Viridiplantae; Streptophyta; Magnoliopsida; Brassicales; Brassicaceae
Description: long non-coding RNA (BNAP_LNC004284)
Source: RNAcentral